AUGGGGGUUGUCCUUGAGCUUCACCGAGUCGCAACUAGGUGUUAUUCAAAUGUUGUAUACUUGGAACUGAUGGUUCUGAAGCUGUAUGGCAUGGUAAGUGGCAGCCCGAACACAACACCAAGAACAUGGGAUCCUGGAAUUCUAAAGGUUGUUCAUAUGGUUUCCUCGUUCCCUAUUUGCCGGGUUAUGCACAUGGUCCAAUUGUUCAACCAUGAUAGUGCAGCUUUUGCAUUCCUUGGAUUGGAGCAUUUAACCGUACUGGACAAGGGACAUUCCACCUUGAUUUCAACGACUGCAGCGAUCGUCACUUGUUUUUCUUCUUCAACCUUCAAAUACAAGUGGGAGUGUUGUGUCAGACGACAGUGGGACCCUGGUAUUUUCCUGAACAGUGUUAGAAUUGUGGCCUACAGUAGUAGCACACUAGCUAAGAAAUAUUGCAAAAAACUACUCUGCUUCCUGCACACAACGUUCCCAGCUCAUGCUUUUGCCAAGCUACUUAAUUUUUGGUCUAGGGUGCUGUUGUUUAUUUUGCUUGUGCCAAACCUUUAUCCAGGGCAGCAAUGUGAGCAUGUUCUUGGUACCCCUGAUGGCCGAGUGUUUAUUCAAGGCAAAGUAUUUGGACUACUGCAGUUCUUAAAAACACCACCGGCUAUAUCAAUGGUGUACUGGUGGCAGGCAGUUCACGGGAUGCUUUCAUUACAAGGAUACAAUGCUCUAUAUCCCUUGCUUAUUUUGACUGCCCAUAUUCAACUUAAUCUGCAGCCCAGUUUGCUUACAGGAAGCACAAUGACUCUCCAUGGGUUUUCUCAUUCCUAUAAAUACAAUCAAUCUUCAUUUACUAUUCAACGAAGCUGUCUUAUAGUCCUCUUAGCACCUGAGUUACAAAAACGGUAUACAGGUUCAGAGGUUCACUUGUACCAUCAGACCAAGCAAGGGAUUUGUUUGGCCUGCUUGCCACCAGGUAAUUCUCCUCUACGGCGGACAACUUGCUGUUGGAUAACUGAAUUACGCAUUGCUUCAGUGUAUGCUUGUGGGAAAGAUAUGCUACAAUUAUUAUUGGAACUUAAUACCAGUGAGCACCGGUUUCAUGGCAUUUGGAGCAUCUUCACACAAACUAGCACUAGUUGCAGGGUUGCAAGUGAAGCAUUGGAAUGCCAAGAUGAUAAAUUGGAAACGUACUACAUUCCAAGUGAUCUCCUAUUCGGGUACGCUCCAGCUAGUACCUGCUACAUUCUUGCUCAUUCUGUUUGUGUAUGCCAAAAGGAUAUGCUGGAAACUCACUACUUUCACGAGAUCACACAAUAUUAUUCCAUGAAGUUUGUGCCACCGCUUUCAGUACAGUCUGAUGGUCUUGGAAUUAUACUGGUAUAUUUACAUUCAACUUUACUUGGCCAAUUGCUUUUGGACCACUAUCACUGCACCCCGAACUUAGCCUUGCAAAGUGAUGCCUUCAUACUGUUUACAUGGUCGAGCACAACAAUUUCUACUAUAAAAUCAGCGUGGUGGUUUCGCUUCAUGGCCUGGAAGAUACAUCAAGGAGGUCGUAUUACUGCUACGAGCUAUCCCGUGAAGACGUCCCUACAGUUGCAGUACGAGUUACUAUGGCGACAACCAUGUAUUGUGCUUGAGGACAAGCAGAAUCUCAAGGGAGGGAGAGUGUCAUGUCCUUGGUCCAUGACUUGUACCAGCAUGUGUCCGUGUGUGGGUUCGGUGUAUUGGAAUGGGGCCCAAAGGGCAAUGUGUGUGAGAACGACUUUAAAGGCCAGGACCUUGUGCUUCGAGGGGCAUGUUGAUGAAUGUAUGUUCUGA
RNAcentral lists this ribosomal RNA (1809 nucleotides) under Triticum aestivum (bread wheat). RNAcentral's name for it is "partial small subunit ribosomal RNA". Lineage: Eukaryota; Viridiplantae; Streptophyta; Magnoliopsida; Poales; Poaceae. The record is from RNAcentral.